Molecule: transfer RNA, 77 nt
Filed under: Chloroflexota bacterium
Lineage: Bacteria; Bacillati; Chloroflexota
Description: Chloroflexi bacterium tRNA-Met
Rfam family: tRNA
About the family: Transfer RNA (tRNA) molecules are approximately 80 nucleotides in length. Their secondary structure includes four short double-helical elements and three loops (D, anti-codon, and T loops).
Source: RNAcentral
GGGCCUGUAGCUCAGCUGGUUAGAGCGGCCGACUCAUAAUCGGCUGGUCGAUGGUUCGAGUCCAUCCAGGCCCACAA